AGAAUCAACGCUGGCGGCGUGCCUAACACAUGCAAGUCGCACGAGAAAGGGACUUCGGUCCUGAGUACAGUGGCGCACGGGUGAGUAACACGUGAAUAAUCUACCUCCGAGUGGGGAAUAACUGAGAGAAAUCUUAGCUAAUACCGCAUAACACUUACGAGUCAAAGCAGCAAUGCGCUUGGAGAGGAGUUCGCGGCAGAUUAGUUAGUUGGCGGGGUAAUGGCCCACCAAGACGAUGAUCUGUAUCCGGCCUGAGAGGGCGCACGGACACACUGGAACUGAAACACGGUCCAGACUCCUACGGGAGGCAGCAGUGGGGAAUUUUGCGCAAUGGGGAAACCCUGACGCAGCAACGCCGCGUGGAGGAUGAAGUACUUCGGUACGUAAACUCCUUUCGAUCGGGACGAUAAUGACGGUACCGGAAGAAGAAGCCCGGCUAACUCGUGCCAGCAGCCGC
Molecule: ribosomal RNA, 457 nt
Filed under: uncultured bacterium
Lineage: Bacteria
Description: SSU rRNA
Rfam family: Bacterial small subunit ribosomal RNA
Source: RNAcentral